Molecule: ribosomal RNA, 591 nt
Filed under: Variovorax sp. GLT-Slr-54
Lineage: Bacteria; Pseudomonadati; Pseudomonadota; Betaproteobacteria; Burkholderiales; Comamonadaceae
Description: bacterial SSU rRNA
Rfam family: Bacterial small subunit ribosomal RNA
Source: RNAcentral
AUAUAUCGGAACGUGCCCAGUCGUGGGGGAUAACGCAGCGAAAGCUGUGCUAAUACCGCAUACGAUCUAUGGAUGAAAGCGGGGGAUCGCAAGACCUCGCGCGAUUGGAGCGGCCGAUAUCAGAUUAGGUAGUUGGUGGGGUAAAGGCUCACCAAGCCGACGAUCUGUAGCUGGUCUGAGAGGACGACCAGCCACACUGGAACUGAGACACGGUCCAGACUCCUACGGGAGGCAGCAGUGGGGAAUUUUGGACAAUGGGCGCAAGCCUGAUCCAGCAAUGCCGCGUGCAGGAUGAAGGCCUUCGGGUUGUAAACUGCUUUUGUACGGAACGAAAAGGCUCUGGUUAAUACCUGGGGCCCAUGACGGUACCGUAAGAAUAAGCACCGGCUAACUACGUGCCAGCAGCCGCGGUAAUACGUAGGGUGCGAGCGUUAAUCGGAAUUACUGGGCGUAAAGCGUGCGCAGGCGGUAAUGCAAGACAGAUGUGAAAUCCCCGGGCUUAACCUGGGAACUGCAUUUGUGACUGCAUUGCUGGAGUGCGGCAGAGGGGGAUGGAAUUCCGCGUGUAGCAGUGAAAUGCGUAGAUAUGCG